AGAGUUUGAUUCUGGCUCAGAUUGAACGCUGGCGGCAGGCCUAACACAUGCAAGUCGAACGGUAACAGGAAGCAGCUUGCUGCUUUGCUGACGAGUGGCGGACGGGUGAGUAAUGUCUGGGAAACUGCCUGAUGGAGGGGGAUAACUACUGGAAACGGUAGCUAAUACCGCAUAACGUCGCAAGACCAAAGAGGGGGACCUUCGGGCCUCUUGCCAUCGGAUGUGCCCAGAUGGGAUUAGCUAGUAGGUGGGGUAACGGCUCACCUAGGCGACGAUCCCUAGCUGGUCUGAGAGGAUGACCAGCCACACUGGAACUGAGACACGGUCCAGACUCCUACGGGAGGCAGCAGUGGGGAAUAUUGCACAAUGGGCGCAAGCCUGAUGCAGCCAUGCCGCGUGUAUGAAGAAGGCCUUCGGGUUGUAAAGUACUUUCAGCGGGGAGGAAGGUGUUGAGGUUAAUAACCUCAGCAAUUGACGUUACCCGCAGAAGAAGCACCGGCUAACUCCGUGCCAGCAGCCGCGGUAAUACGGAGGGUGCAAGCGUUAAUCGGAAUUACUGGGCGUAAAGCGCACGCAGGCGGUCUGUCAAGUCGGAUGUGAAAUCCCCGGGCUCAACCUGGGAACUGCAUUCGAAACUGGCAGGCUAGAGUCUUGUAGAGGGGGGUAGAAUUCCAGGUGUAGCGGUGAAAUGCGUAGAGAUCUGGAGGAAUGCCGGUGGCGAAGGCGGCCCCCUGGACAAAGACUGACGCUCAGGUGCGAAAGCGUGGGGAUCAAACAGGAUUAGAUACCCUGGUAGUC
Molecule: ribosomal RNA, 798 nt
Filed under: uncultured Enterobacteriaceae bacterium
Lineage: Bacteria; Pseudomonadati; Pseudomonadota; Gammaproteobacteria; Enterobacterales; Enterobacteriaceae
Description: bacterial SSU rRNA
Rfam family: Bacterial small subunit ribosomal RNA
Source: RNAcentral